This 468-nucleotide ribosomal RNA is filed under the name uncultured bacterium. RNAcentral describes it as "partial 16S ribosomal RNA". It matches the Rfam family "Bacterial small subunit ribosomal RNA", at positions 28 to 507 of the family's 1533-position model. The record is from RNAcentral.
GACGAACGCUGGCGGCGUGCUUAACACAUGCAAGUCGAACGGAAAGGCCCUGCUUUUGUGGGGUGCUCGAGUGGCGAACGGGUGAGUAACACGUGAGUAACCUGCUCUUGACUUUGGGAUAACUUCAGGAAACUGGGGCUAAUACCGGAUAGGAGCUCCUGCUGCAUGGUGGGGGUUGGAAAGUUUCGGCGGUUGGGGAUGGACUCGCGGCUUAUCAGCUUGUUGGUGGGGUAGUGGCUUACCAAGGCUUUGACGGGUAGCCGGCCUGAGAGGGUGACCGGCCACAUUGGGACUGAGAUACGGCCCAGACUGCUACGGGAGGCAGCAGGGGGAAAUAUUGCACAAUGGGCGGAAGCCUGAUGCAGCAACGCCGCGUGCGGGAUGACGGCCUUCGGGUUGUAAACCGCUUUCGCCUGUGACGAAGCGUGAGUGACGGUAAUGGGUAAAGAAGCACCGGCUAACUACGUG